UACGGAGGGUGCAAGCGUUGUCCGGAAUUACUGGGCGUAAAGCGCGUGUAGGCGGUUCGUUAUGUCGGGUGUGAAAUCCCCAGGCUCAACCUGGGAACUGCGCUCGAAACUGGCGAACUUGAGUGCGGAAGGGGAAGGUGGAAUUCCCGGUGUAGAGGUGAAAUUCGUAGAUAUCGGGAAGAAUACCGGUGGCGAAGGCGACCUUCUGGUCCGCAACUGACGCUGAGACGCGAAAGCGUGGGGAGCAAACAGGAUUAGAUACCCUGGUAGUCCACGCCCUAAACUAUGAUCGCUGGGUGUUGGGGGUAACAAUUCCCUCAGUGCCGUAGCUAACGCGUUAAGCGAUCCGCCUGGGAAGUACGGCCGCAAGGCUAAA
This 376-nucleotide ribosomal RNA is filed under the name uncultured bacterium. RNAcentral's name for it is "bacterial SSU rRNA". It matches the Rfam family "Bacterial small subunit ribosomal RNA", at positions 524 to 898 of the family's 1533-position model. The record is from RNAcentral.